GUACACGCUGUGACUAGCAUAUCAAUAAGCGGAGGAAAAGAAACUAACAAGGAUUCCCCUAGUAACGGCGAGUGAAGCGGGAAGAGCUCAAAUUUGAAAUCCUAAAGGGUUUCCCUUUACGAAUUGUAGUUUAAAGAAGUGUUUUCUGUUGAGGUUUUGGUAAAAGUUCUUUGGAAUAGGACAUCAUAGAGGGUGAGAAUCCCGUAUUCGACCUUUACUUUCAACUUUGUGAUACACUUUCAAAGAGUCGGAUUGUUUGGGAAUGCAGUCCAAAAUGGGUGGUAAAUUUCAUCUAAAGCUAAAUAUUGGCGAGAGACCGAUAGCGAACAAGUACCGUGAGGGAAAGAUGAAAAGAACUUUGAAAAGAGAGUUAAACAGUACGUGAAAUUGUCAAAAGGGAAGCGUUUGACACCAGUGUUGUUUUUCUGAAAAUCAAUUAAAGAACUGUUUAUGCUAAGUUGUUUAGACUUUAUCAGCUAACUGUUUAGUUUUGAGCUUUUCUUUAAUGCACUUUUCAGUUAACAAGUCAACAUCAAUUUCUUUUGCUGUAAAAAAGCUUGAGGAAGGUGGCUUGAGAUUCGUCUUAAGUGUUUAUAGCCUCUUGCCUAUGCAGUCGGAGAGAUUGAGGUCUGCAGCGUAGAUCCUUCGGGGCUAAAUGCAUUUGUGCUAAGUUAUAGCAUUUUAUAGACAACUUGUUGACUAUGAUUUGUCUUGUAGCUUACUCGCUUAUGUUAUUUUACCUACGCUUAGGAUGUUGAAGAUGUAGCACAUCAU
Molecule: ribosomal RNA, 774 nt
Filed under: uncultured Neocallimastigales
Lineage: Eukaryota; Fungi; Neocallimastigomycota; Neocallimastigomycetes; Neocallimastigales
Description: partial large subunit ribosomal RNA
Rfam family: Eukaryotic large subunit ribosomal RNA
Source: RNAcentral